This 503-nucleotide ribosomal RNA is filed under the name uncultured bacterium. RNAcentral describes it as "bacterial SSU rRNA". It matches the Rfam family "Bacterial small subunit ribosomal RNA", at positions 19 to 518 of the family's 1533-position model. The record is from RNAcentral.
AUGGCUCAGGAUGAACGCUGGCGGCAUGCCUAAUACAUGCAAGUCGAACGUAGAGUAAGCAAUUACUCUAGUGGCGAACGGGUGAGUAACACGUGGGUAACUGUCUAAAGCCGAGGAUAACAGUUGGAACGACUGCUAAUACUGGAUAGGUUGAUAGAACACAGGUUCAAUCAAUUAAAGAUGCUACGGCAUCACUUUAAGAGAGGCCCGCGGUGCAUUAGCUAGUUGGUGAGGUAAUGGCCCACCAAGGCAAUGAUGCAUAGCUGUGCUGAGAGGCAAAACAGCCACACUGGGACUGAGACACGGCCCAGACUCCUACGGGAGGCAGCAGUAGGGAAUUUUCGGCAAUGGAGGAAACUCUGACCGAGCAAUGCCGCCGUGAACGAUGAAGGUCUUCGGACUGUAAAGUUCUGUUGUUAGGGAAGAAUAAUACAACUAGGGAAUGAGUUGUAGAUGACGGUACCUAACUAGAAAGCCCCGGCUAACUAUGUGCCAGCCGCGGC